CUAAUGCGGGGCUGCAUCGGCUUUCAAUCUCCAGCGAAAGGGAAUAACCCGGAGUCCCGACCCACCCCCAACGAGGCAGAUCAGGUAUUCCCGUGGGCCGUAUUACACGGUCACGUCAUCCAUCCCGUGUCGCAGGUGCGGUCCCGCAUUGCUAUGCCCCACGCGGCAGUGACGAGGAGGCACACGCCAGGUAAUCCGGUGGGCCCACCCUACCCCGCCGCACACCGGAGAGGGAGAGGCGAUACGCGUGGCCCCUGCGUACGUCAACCAACGGCCCAGAUCUCUCCGCACUCCGCACGGCACGCCGCCGCAUCGGCGUGACGAGUUGUUGUUGUUGGCUUGUUGCUGGUGCAGCCGCGCCGCGCCGCGCGUGCUCGGGUAUAAAUAUGUACACCUAGAGUCAUUGUAAAUUAUCUCUCGAUCAAUACAACUACUCUCGGCGCAUCGCUACCCUCUUUACCGAGGUUCUACUUAUCAUCCGACGGAACUUGGCACCUAAUGCGGGGCUGCAUCGGCUUUCAAUCUCCAGCGAAAGGGUAAGUCCUAUGUUCCGCCGGCCCUGGCAAUCAUAUCGGCUACAUUGGUGUUCUCUAAGGCUGCAUCGUUCUCGAUCUCUUGGAUCGCUCUGGUUUGGUUGAUAUGUUUGUCUACCUAUUUAUCAUAUAUCUUAGUUAAUCUAGUUUGGUAGCUUUAUUUACUUGUAUCGGCUAAGAUUCGCUUUAGGCUUUAUGCCGGUAUCAGCUAAAUCGCUUUGCUAGAUUAGAUUAGUUAAGGUAUUCACCACCCUGAAAAUUAGUCAAAGACUUGAUUGUUUAGACUUUAUACUUCUUUGCAUACUUUGCAAAUCAUCGUCCCUAGUCAUGCUUAGAAUCAUAAAAGUUAAUAUGUCUUUGAUUAUAAUAAGGGUUUCAUCGGGGUUUCAGCCGAUGAGUUAUAUGGAUGUUGAGCUUACAAAGAUCGCAUACAAGUUGGUUUUAGUCGAUCGCAACAAAGGUUUUAUUGUUUAUUUAAUUUUGUAGAUUUUACGACAUCAGACCUCCAGCUGAUGUAUACUUUAGUUUUCGGAUCAGUGUUUAUUCAAUCAUAUCAUUAUUGGCCGAUUGGUUUCUACUGGAUUACAUUAUUGUUUUAUUACAUUACCAUCAGCCGAUUGUCUUUAUAUCAUUAUCUAUAUUAGACAUAUAGCCGAUUACUCAAAACCCUAUUGACAUCGGCUAAUAUCGGCAUCGGAUGGAACUACUCCAUUGGCUUGUUAGCCGAUCGGCUAUUUGAUUUGCUAUUUACACAUCUUGUCAGUUGCAGGAUCAAACUGACUGGUACGUCGACAUCUCAUCAAUUUUUGGACCUGCAUUAGACCUAAGCAGAUCUCCUAGGACGUUGUGUUCGUUGACUUAGUUCGCGCCAACACAGAUCCGAUACUAUCGGCUGAGCGUGAAUUUUUCGUCAACAGUCAUGUCAGCUAAAACCACAGUUAAUACUACCGACUGACUUGAUUUA
Non-coding RNA from Oryza sativa Japonica Group (Japanese rice), 1497 nucleotides. NCBI's taxonomy places the organism in Eukaryota, Viridiplantae, Streptophyta, Magnoliopsida, Poales, Poaceae. The record is from RefSeq and is a predicted model, not a curated record.